AUGUCGAUGCACAUUUGCAAGCUUUUUCUCUUGGGACUUGUAUGCAUUGCGUUGGUUCUAUCUUCAGGAGCUACCCAAGGUGAUACUUUUCAAUCAAAAUGCAUUUUUGGAAAUUGUGGAGAUUGCGAAAAAAGAUGCAUUCAGGCGGGAUUUGAAGUUGGUUCAUGUACUUUUGAAGGGGAUUGUUGUUGCUAUAAACCUUUUUGA
This 207-nucleotide long non-coding RNA is filed under the name Vicia faba (fava bean). Lineage: Eukaryota; Viridiplantae; Streptophyta; Magnoliopsida; Fabales; Fabaceae. The record is from RNAcentral.